UGAGGAAUAUUGGUCAAUGGUCGGGAGACUGAACCAGCCAAGCCGCGUGAGGGACGGAGGUACAGAGUAUCGUAAACCUCUUUUGUCAGGGAACAAAGGACCCCACGUGUGGGGUUAUGNGGGUAACUGAAGAAAAAGAAUAGGCUAACUCCGUGCGAGCAGCCGCGGUAAUACGGAGGAUGCGAGCGUUAUCCGGAUUUCUUGGGUUUAAAGGGUGCGUAGGCGGCGUCCUAAGUCAGCGGUAAAAGCCCGGGGCUCAACCCCGGCGAGCCGUUGAUACUGGGGUGCUCGAGUUGGAGAGAAGUAUGCGGAAUGCGCGGUGUAGCGGUGAAAUGCAUAGAUAUCGCGCAGAACUCCGAUUGCGAAGGCAGCAUGCCGGCUCCACACUGACGCUGAGGCACGAAAGCGUGGGUAUCGAACAGG
RNAcentral lists this ribosomal RNA (423 nucleotides) under uncultured bacterium. RNAcentral's name for it is "bacterial SSU rRNA". It matches the Rfam family "Bacterial small subunit ribosomal RNA", at positions 355 to 776 of the family's 1533-position model. The record is from RNAcentral.